GGGAUUGACAAUGGGCGCAGCCUGAUGCAGCCAUGCCGCGUGUGUGAAGAAGGCUCUAGGGUUGUAAAGCUCUUUCAGUCGGGAGGAAAGGKUAUCAGUUAAUACGUGGUAGCUGUGACGGUACCGACAGAAGAAGCACCGGCUACUCCG
RNAcentral lists this ribosomal RNA (150 nucleotides) under uncultured marine bacterium. Its description in RNAcentral is "partial small subunit ribosomal RNA". It matches the Rfam family "Bacterial small subunit ribosomal RNA", at positions 357 to 505 of the family's 1533-position model. The record is from RNAcentral.